CUUCUUCGCCACCCAAAGACUCACGCAUACACACAUUUUUCUUUCGUAUCUGCUGUCUCAGCCUCCCUCGGGCCAAUUUGGGUAAAUGCGUCCAAGAGGAAGAAAUAAAAAUGAAAAGACUGACAGUUUAAAAGCAUGUGGAGGGCUUAGAAGAUAAAGACGAGUGCAAGAAAGGGAGAGCGCGGCCGGCCGCGGUGUCUCACGCCUGUCAUCCUAGCACUUUGGGAGGCCGAAGAGAUCGGAUCACUUGAGGUCCGGAGUUCAAAUCCAGCCUGGCCAACAUGGUGAAACCCCGUCUCUACUAAAAAUACAAAAAAAUUAGCCGGACCUGGUGGCGGGCGUCUGUAAUGCCAGCUACUCGGGAGGCUGAGGCGGGAGAAUCGCUUGAACCCGGGAGGCGGAGGUUGCAGUGAGCCGAGAUCGCGCCACUGCAUUCCAGCCUGGGCAACAGACUGAGACCCUGCCUCAAAAGAAAAAAAGAAAAAAAAAAAAGGAGAGCGCGUACUGUUGCGGAAGGGGCACUGCUCGAGAAACAGAGACGAAGGGAUGAUUUUCAAGUAAUCAAGACACCGAGAAAGACAAGAUUGGGGAUGGAAGAGCAGUAAGAAUUAAUGGAGACGUCCAAGAAUUGUAGUUCGGGCGCGGUGGCUCAUGCCUGUAAUCCCAGCACUUUGGGAGGCUGAGGUUAGUGGAUCACCUGAGGUCAGGAGUUCGAGACCAGCCUGUCCAAAUGGCGAAACCCCAUCUCUACUAAAAAAUACAAAAAUUAGCCGAGCAUGGUGGCGCACGCCUGUAAUCCCAGCUACUGGGGAAGCUGAGUCAGGAGAAUAGCUUGAACCUGGGAGGUGGGAGGUGGAGGUUGCAGUUAACCGAGCCACUGCAUUUCAGGUUAGGUGACAGAGUGAGGCUAUGUCUCCAAAAAAAAAAAAAAAAAAAAAAAAAAGAAGAAGAAGAAAAGCAAAUGGGUAGUUUGUUUUGCAUGCUUCUUGCCAGGCAGAAAAGGUGCUUGAGAGGAGAAAGAAGUGGAAAACUGGAAAGGGGGGGAAUCUAAAUCAAGGACUUUAUUUUCCUUACUGUUGAGUUGUAAAUACAGUCCUCCUUUGACAUUUAUCUUCCCCUUUUUCUAUGGUUUAAAAACAGGUGAUUUGGCUGGGCAUGGUGGCUCACACCUGUAAUCCCAGCAGUUUGGGAGGCCAAGGCAGGCGGAUCACUUGAGAUUACGAGUUCAAAGACCAGCUUGGUCAACAUGGUGAAACCCUGUCUCUACUAAAAAUACAAAAAUUAGCUGGGUGUGGUGGCAGGCACCUGUAGUCCCAGCUACUCGGGAGUCUAAGGCAGGAGAAUCGCUUAAACCCAGGAGGUGGAGGUUGCAGUGAGCCGAGAUCGCACCAUUGCACUCCAGCCUGGGAGACAGAGUGAGACUCCGUCUCAAAAGCAAAACAAAACAAACAAAAAACAACGUGAUUUAUAUAUCAUGGCGUUGUAUUUAUGUAUUAUGUAGUUUUUUUUCUUUUGACACAGGGUCUCACCCUGUUGCCCAGACUGGAGUGUAGCAGAGCGAUCACGGCUUCACUGCAGCCUCAGACUCCUGGGUUGAAACAACCCUCCCACCUUCCUGAAUACCAGCUAUUGUCCCAGCUUCCUGAAUACCUGGGACAAUAGUUGGGACUAUGGGCACAACUGUCUUGGGACUAAAUUUGUAUUUUAUUUUAUUUUAUUUUUAUUUUUUAGAGACGGAGUUUCGCUCUUAUUGCCCAGGCUGGAGUGCAGUGGCGCGAUCUAGGUUUACUGCAACCUACGCCUCCCGGGUUCAAUCGAUUAUCCUGCCUCAGACUCCGGAGUCGCUGGGAUUGCAGGCAUGCACAACCACUCCUGGCUAAUUUUUUUUUUUUUUUUUUUUUUUUUUGAGACGGAAUCUUGCUCUGUUGCCCAGGCUGGAGUGCAGUGGCACCAUCUCGGCUCACUGCAGCCUCCGCCUCCCGGGUUCAACCGAUUCUCCUGCCUCACCCUCCCAAGCAGCUGGGACUACAGGCGCGUGCCAGCACGCCCAGAUAAUUUUUUUUUGUAUUUUUAGUGGAGACGGGGUUUCACCAUAUUGGCCAGGCUGGUCUCAAACUUCUGACCUCGUAAUCCACCCGCCUCAGCCUCCCAAAGUGCUGGGAUUACAAGCGUGAGCCACGGUGCCUGGCGGCUAAUUUUGUGUUUUUAGUAGAGAUGGGGUUUCUCCAUGUUGGUCAGGCUGUUUUGGAAUUCCCGACCUCAGGUGAUCGGCCCGCCUUGGCCUCCGAAAGUGCUGAGAUUACAGGCGUGAGCCACCGCGGCCAGCCUGUAUUUUAUUUUUUGUAGAAUCAGUGUUGCGCUAGGUUGCUCAGGCUGGCCUCUAACAUCUAGGCUCAAGGGAUCCUUCCUGCCUCUGCCUUCAGAGUAGCUAGAAUUACAGACACACAUCACCAUGCCCAGCUUUGUUUGCUUGUUUUGAGAUAGGAUUGGCUGGUUUUGAACUCCACCGCUCCCAGCCUGUAUUUUAUUUUUUAUGCACUUGGUAGUGCCCCUUCAUGACACUUAACAUAAACUUUCAGCCAGGAACAGUGGUUCCCACCUGUAAUCUUUGCCCAGGUGGGAGGAUUGCUUGAGCCUACAAGUUUGAGACUAGCUUGGGCAAUAUAGUGAGACGCCAAUCUCUAUCUUUAAAAAACUAAAACAUUAGUCCGGGCGCAGUGGCUCACGCCUAUAAUUUCAGUACUUUGGAGGCCGAGGCGGGUGGAUCACCUGUGAGGUCAGGAGUUUGAGACCAGCCUGGCCAACAAGAUGAAACCCCGUCUCUACUAAAAAUACAAAAAUUAGCCAGGCGUGGUGGUGGGCAUCUGUAAUCCCAGCUACUCGGGAGGCUGAGGCAGGAGAAUCACUGGAAUCCAGGAGGUGGAAGUUGCUGUGAGCCGAGAUCGCACCAUUGCACUCUAGCCUGGGUGACAGAGCAAGACUCUGUCUCAAAAAAAAAAUUUUUUUUCUAAUAAAUUUUAAAAAAACAAAACAUUAAAUAGGCUGGGCCUGGUGGCUCAAGCCUCUAAUCUCAGCACUUUGGGAGGCUGAGAUGGAAGGAUCACUUGAGCUCAAGAACUCGAGUCCAGCCUGGACGAUGUAUCAAGACCUCAUCUCUACAAAUAAUGUUAAAAAUUAUUAGUGCAGCAUAAGUGGCAUAGGCUUGUGGUCCCAGCUACUUGUGAGGCUGAUAUGGUUUGGCUCCGUUUCCCCACACAAACAUCAUCCCAAAUUGUAACCCCCACCUGUUAAGGGAGGGUCCUGGUGGGAAGUGAUUGGAUCAUUUGGACAGUUUCCUCCAUGCUGUUCUAGUGAUAAUGAGUGAGUUCUAACAAGAUCUGAUGGUUCGGCUGGGCGCGGUGGCUCAAGCCUGUAAUCCCAGCACUUUGGGAGGCCGAGGCGGGUGGAUCAUGAGGCCAGGAGAUCGAGACCAUCCUGGCUAACACGGUGAAACCCCGUCUCUACUAAAAAUACAAAAAAUUAGCCGGGCGUGAUGGCGGGCACCUGUGGUCCCAGCUACUCGGGAGGCUGAGGCAGGAGAAUGGCGUGAACCCGGGAGGCAGAGCUUGCAUUGAGCCGAGAUCGCGCCACUGCACUCCAGCCUGGGCGACAGAGCAAGACUCCGUCUCAAAAAAAAAAAGAAAAGAAAAAAAAAAAGAUCUGAUAGUUGAAAGGUGUGUGGUGGUCUCCCCCCUGCCCUCUGCCACCUCUCCUGCUGCAAUGUAAGACGUGCCCUGCUUCCCAUUUCACCAUGAUUGUAAGUUUCCUGAGGCAUCCCCACCCAUGUGAAACUGUGAGUCAAUUAAAGCUUUUUUUUUUUUUUUCCAGAGUCUCCCUCUGUCGCCCAGGCUGGAGCGGAGUGGCGUGAUCUCGGCUCACUGCAACCUCCGCCCCCGGGUUUAAGCAAUUCUCCUGCCUCAGCCUCCAGAGGAGCUGUGAUUACACAUGCUUGCCACCACGCCCGGCUAAUUUUUGUAUUUUCAGUAGAGAUGGGGUUUCACCACGUUAGCCAGGCUGGUCUCGAACUCCUGACCUCGUGAUCAGCCCAACUCGGCCUCCCGAAUUGCUAGGAUUAUAGGCGUGAGCCACCACACCCUACCAAGCUUUUUCCUUUAUAAAUUACCCAGUCACAGGUAGUUAUUAUUUUUUUUUUUUUGAGACAGAGUCUUGCUCUGUUGCCCAGGCUGGAGUGCCAUGGUGUGAUCUCAGCUACUGCAACCUCGGCUUCCUAGAUUCAAGCCAUUCUCCUGCCUCAGCUUCCCAAGUAGCUAGGAUUACAAGCAUGCGCCACCACGCCCAGCUAAUUUUUGUAUAUUUAGUAGAGAUGGAGUUUCAUUCACCAUGUUGGCCAGAUUGGUGUUGAACUGACCUCAGGUGAUCCACCCACCUUGACCUCCCAAACUGCUGGGAUCAUAGGCAUGAGCCACUGCACUCAGCCUCACGUAGUUCUUUGUUGUUGUUGUUUUGUUGCUGUUGUUGUUUUUUCAGACGAAGUCUCACUCUUGUCCCCCAAGCUGGAGUACAAUGGCGCGAUCUCGGCUCACUGCAACCUCCGCCUCCCGGGUUCAAGCAAUUCUCCUGCCUCAGCCUCCCGAGUAGCUGGGAUUAUAGGCGCCUGCCACCAUGCCCGGCUAAUUUUUGUAUUUUAAGUAGAGACGGGGGUUUCACCAUUUUGGCCAGGCUGGUCUCGAACUCCUGACCUCAGGUGAUCCGCCCGCCUCGGCCUCCCAAAGUGCUGGGAUUACAAGUGUGAGCCACCGUGCCCGGCCGGCCUCAGGUAGUUCUUUAUAGCAGUGUGAAAAUGGAGUAAUAGAGAGCUGAGGCAGGAGGAUCACCUGAGGCCAGGAGGUGAGGCUGCAUGAGCUGUGACUGCACCACUGCACUCCAGCCUGGGUGACAAAGUGAGACCCUAUCUCAAAAAAACAAAACAAAAGACAUAUUUAUUUUAAAAAUAAAUAAAUAAACUUUGUAGGACUUUGUUUAGACAUGUUUACCAUAUGACAUAUGUGUCUUUAGAACAGCGUCCAGCAUCUUGUAGAAGGACAAUCAUUACAAAGUUCAAGCACGUUCUGCUUUAAACACACCUAUUGUGCCACACUAAAAUCUGAAUUUGUGAAUAAAUGAACUAAAACAAUCAUAUUAUAAAACUACACAGGACUUUAAAGCGUCAUGUAGGAUGUGACUUUUUUAUUACAGGCUCCCAUAAUGUAUUUAGAAAUAUGACUCAGGAUCUAUCCAUGAUAACAGUCAGUAUAGGAUAAACAAGUUAGUAAUUUAUGUUUAAUAAUGUAUUCUAUUUAUUUUAUUUUAUUUUAUUUUUUGAGCUGGAGUCUCACUCUGUUGCCCAGGCUGGAGUGCAGUGGCACGAUCUCAGCUCACUGCAAGCUCCGCCUCCCGGAUUCAAGCGAUUCUCCUGCCUCAGCCUCCCGAGUAGCUGGGACUACAGGUGCGUGCCACCACGCCCAGCUAAAUGUAUUCUAUUUAUAAUGGUUUAUUCAGGGACUAAUUCCACUAAAGUUAUUAUUCCUGCGCUGUUCUCCACAUCUGUUUUCUUCACCCACACUUCAUUAGGUAGAUGGGUGAUGAUAGUGGUAAUUUUUGUGUUUUUUUUUUUCUUUUUUCAGAUGGAGUUUCGCUCUUGUUGCCAGGCUGGAGUACAGUGGCCUGAUCUCGGCUCACUGCAACCUCUGCCUCCUGGGUUUAAGCAAUUCUCCUGCCUUAGCUUCCUCCUGAGUAGCUUGGAUUACAGGCAUGCGUCACCAUGCCCGGCUAAUAUUGUAUUUUAAUAGAGACGGGAUUUCACCAUGUUGGCCAGGCUGGUCUCGAAGUCCUGACCUCAAGUGAUCCGCCCGCCUCAUCCUCUCAAAGUGCUGGGGUUACAGGCAUUAGCCCUCACGCCUGGCCAAAUGCAGUCUUUUCACCACCUUUUUGGAUCACAGAAAAUGACCAUGAAGCUAUGGAAAAAAGGGAGAGUUGAAUUUAAGAUUAGCUGUCAGCCCAUCUUUCAUUAGCCAUUUCUCUAAUCCAGUCUUGAAUUUUCCUCUUUCUAGUAAUAUGGAGGGUAGCACUAUGUUCAAAGCGGCCACUGGGGAUUUAGGUAUUUUAAUAUCUGUACUAUGUUUCUAGAUAAGUAAAAUAACCAGGUGAAUUUAUCAGCCCACAGUGAACCUGGGGAACAGUUUAUUGAACUAGUGCCCUUAAGUAGAGGACAUUCUCAACAUUGCUAAGUUUAUCUCCCAUUCCCUAUAUCAUGGAAUGAGAGAAAUUUGGAGAAAAAAUUUCUAUUUCCUAAUCUCAGCUUUUUUUUUUUUUUUUUUUCCGAGACAGAGUAUCGAGCUGUCGCCCAGGCUGGAGUGCAAUGGCAUGAUCUUGGCUCACUGCAACCUCUGCCUCCCGCGUUCUAAGUGAUUCUCCUUCCUCAGCCUCCCGAAUAGCUGGGAUUAUAGGCACGCACCAUCAUGCAUGGCUAAUUUUGUAUUUUUAGUAGAGAUGGGGUUUCCCCAUGUUGGCCAGGCUGGUCUCGAACUCCUGAUCUCAGGUUAUCCACCCGCCUCAGCCUCUCCAAGUGCUGGGAUUACAAGUGUGAGCCACCGCACCCCGCCCUAAUCUCAGCCUUUUUAUAUCUUCUUGGUAGGCCCACUUUUUGGCAUCCCCUAACAAGAAGUCCUCAGAGAUUUUUACUACUCAACAUGUGUGCGUCCCACUCAGAUGUAUUGUGUUCUUUCUGUUCACCCUCUACUUCCCAUUCCAUUUCUUCCUCUGACUUAGGGUUAGAAUGGCCCAAUGAUCCUACAACUUUUUGAUGCUAUUUCAUUUGAUUCCUCUACUGUCUAAAUCACAAGUUGGCUAACUUUACUUACUGUAAGGGAUCAGAUAGCAAAUAGUUUAGGCCUUGUGGGCCAUUCAAUCUGUCAUAACUACCCACUCUGACCAUAUGUAGUGCAAAAGCAGCCCUUGACAAUAUAUAAAUGAAUGAACGUGAAUGUAUUUCAAUAAAGCUUUACUUGUGGACACUGAAAUUUGAAUUUUAUAUCAUUUUCACAAGCCACAAAAUAAUUAUUUUGAUUCCCCCCCACCCUCAAUCAUUUAAAAAUGCAAAAAUCAUUCUUAGUUUAUGUGUGGUGAUAGACAGGUGUUGGGCUUGAUUUGGACCCAGUGCCAUAGUUUCAGACCCCUGGUUUAACUGAACUGAAAGGUAAUCAGCUCUGCAAAGCCAUUAUUACUGAAGGAGACUCCCCCUUUUUUCCCUUUGACGUUUCUUCUUUGCAGACAGAACACUGAUAAGUAGCAAGAG
This 7333-nucleotide long non-coding RNA is filed under the name Homo sapiens (human). RNAcentral's name for it is "non-protein coding lnc-SLC2A3-4:2". Lineage: Eukaryota; Metazoa; Chordata; Mammalia; Primates; Hominidae. The record is from RNAcentral.